This 408-nucleotide ribosomal RNA is filed under the name uncultured bacterium. Its description in RNAcentral is "partial 16S ribosomal RNA". It matches the Rfam family "Bacterial small subunit ribosomal RNA", at positions 28 to 526 of the family's 1533-position model. The record is from RNAcentral.
GACGAACGCUGGCGGCGUGCUUAACACAUGCAAGUCGAACGAAGUGGCGAACGGGUGAGUAACGCGUAAUCAACCUGCCCUUCAGAGGGGGACAACAGUUGGAAACGACUGCUAAUACCGCAUACUUAAUUAGGGGAUUUCUUCUGAUUAGCUAGUUGGAGGGGUAACGGCCCCCCAAGGCGAUGAUCAGUAGCCGGGCUGAGAGGAUGACCGGCCACAUUGGGACUGAGACACGGCCAAGACUCCUACGGGAGGCAGAAGUGGGGAAUCUUCCGCAAUGGACGAAAGUAUGACGGAGCAACGCCGCGUGAGUGAUGACGGCCUUCGGGUUGUAAAGCUCUGUUAAUCGGGACGCGGUAACGGAAGAGAAAGCCACGGCUAACUACGUGCCAGCAGCCGCGGUAAUAG